GACGAACGCUGGCGGCGUGCUUAACACAUGCAAGUCGAACGGAAAGGGCCUGCUGGCAGUGUAGUCGAGUGGCGAACGGGUGAGUAACACGUGGGGGAUGUGCCGUGUGCGUCGGGUUAAGCCCGGGGGACUGGGGCGAAUGCCGGCGAGGGGCCAUACUGAGUGUGGUGGUUGGACAGUUUUGUCGUAGUAGGAUGGGUUUGCGGCCUAUCAGCUGGUUGGUGGGGUAAUGGACUACCAAGGCGGCGACGGGUAGCCGGCCUGAGAGGGUGGACGGCCACAUUGGGACUGAGAUACGGCCCAGCCUCCUACGGGAGGCAGCAGUGGGGAAUAUUGCACAAUGGGAGCAAGCCUGAUGCAGCGACGCCGCGUGGGGGAUGACGGCCUUCGGGUUGGAAACUCCUUUCGCUAGGGACGAAGCUUUUUGUGACGGUACCUAGAUAAGAAGCACCGGCUAACUACGUG
This 465-nucleotide ribosomal RNA is filed under the name uncultured bacterium. RNAcentral's name for it is "partial 16S ribosomal RNA". It matches the Rfam family "Bacterial small subunit ribosomal RNA", at positions 28 to 507 of the family's 1533-position model. The record is from RNAcentral.